AGUGAACGCUGGCGGCAGGCCUAAUACAUGCAAGUCGAACGGCAGCACAGUGGAGCUUGCUCCAUGGGUGGCGCGUGGCGGACGGGUGAGGAAUACAUGGGACUCUGCUCAGUCGCGGGGGAUAACGCAGGGAAACUUACGCUAAUACCGCAUGCGCCCUUCGGGGGAAAGCCGGGGAGCUUCGGGCCUGGCGCGGUUGGAUGAGCCCAUGUUCGAUUAGCUAGUUGGCGGGGUAAAGGCCCACCAAGGCGACGAUCGAUAGCUGGUCUGAGAGGAUGAUCAGCCACACUGGGACUGAGACACGGCCCAGACUCCUACGGGAGGUAGCAGUAGGGAAUAUUGGACAAUGGGCGCAAGCCUGAUCCAGCCAUGCCGCGUGAGUGAAGAAGGCCCUCGGGUUGUAAAGCUCUUUUGUCCGGGAAGAAAAGCAUCGGGCUAAUACCUCGGUGUUCUGACGGUACCGGAAGAAUAAGCACCGGCUAACUUCGUG
Molecule: ribosomal RNA, 490 nt
Filed under: uncultured bacterium
Lineage: Bacteria
Description: partial 16S ribosomal RNA
Rfam family: Bacterial small subunit ribosomal RNA
Source: RNAcentral